GCACCCCAGUCACGCGGGGCUACCCG
RNAcentral lists this ribosomal RNA (26 nucleotides) under Opuntia robusta (nopal tapon). Its description in RNAcentral is "26S ribosomal RNA". Lineage: Eukaryota; Viridiplantae; Streptophyta; Magnoliopsida; Caryophyllales; Cactaceae. The record is from RNAcentral.